UCCCGCAGCUAGUUCUCUGCAACUAUCACAUAGUCGCCCUCUGAAGCUAAGCAGGGCUGCACCCGAUCAGUACCUGGAUGGGAGAUCACAUGAGAAAACUAAGUUGAUGCUGGAG
Ribosomal RNA from Danio rerio (zebrafish), 115 nucleotides. NCBI's taxonomy places the organism in Eukaryota, Metazoa, Chordata, Actinopteri, Cypriniformes, Danionidae. The record is from Ensembl.